GACGAACGCUGGCGGCGUGCUUAACACAUGCAAGUCGAACGGAAAGGCCCUGCUUUUGUGGGGUGCUCGUGUGGCGAACGGGUGAGUAACACAUGAGUAAAAUGCCCUUAUCUGUGUGAUAACUUCUGGGGACUGGGGCUAUUACCCGGUAGAAUCUCCUGCUGCAUGUGGGGGGUUGGAAAGUUCCGGCGGUUGGGGAUCGUAUCGCUGCUUAUCAGCUUGUUGGUCGGGUAGUGGCUUUCAAAGGCUUUGACGGGUAGCCGGCCUGGGAGAGUUGCCGGCGACAAUGGGACUGCGAGACGCACCAGACGCGAACGGGAGGCAGCAGUCGAGAGUAUUGCAGAACAGGCGGAAGCCUGAUGCAGCGGCGCCGCGUUCGUGAUGAUGGCUUACGGGGGGUAAACCUAUUUCGCCGGAGACGAAGCGUGCUUGACGGUAAUUGGUAAAGAAGCACCGGCUAACUACGUG
Molecule: ribosomal RNA, 468 nt
Filed under: uncultured bacterium
Lineage: Bacteria
Description: partial 16S ribosomal RNA
Rfam family: Bacterial small subunit ribosomal RNA
Source: RNAcentral